Molecule: transfer RNA, 85 nt
Filed under: Limihaloglobus sulfuriphilus
Lineage: Bacteria; Pseudomonadati; Planctomycetota; Phycisphaerae; Sedimentisphaerales; Sedimentisphaeraceae
Description: Phycisphaerae bacterium SM-Chi-D1 tRNA
Rfam family: tRNA
About the family: Transfer RNA (tRNA) molecules are approximately 80 nucleotides in length. Their secondary structure includes four short double-helical elements and three loops (D, anti-codon, and T loops).
Source: Rfam by way of RNAcentral
GCGGAUGUGGCGGAACUGGCAGACGCGCUAGCUUCAGGUGCUAGUGAGCAUUACGCUCGUGGAGGUUCGAAUCCUCUCAUCCGCA